Molecule: non-coding RNA, 75 nt
Organism: Podarcis lilfordi (Lilford's wall lizard)
Lineage: Eukaryota; Metazoa; Chordata; Lepidosauria; Squamata; Lacertidae
Source: the annotation of a GenBank genome assembly
GACAAAUUUAGCUCAGCUGGUAGAGCUUGAGGCUCUGAAUCUCAGGGUUUGUGGGCUUGAGCCCCACAUUGGGCA